GCCUGGGUGGCUCGGUGGGUUAAGCGUCUGACUUCGGCUCAGGUUGUAAUCUUGCGGUCCGUGAGUUCGAGCCCCGCCUUGGGCU
This is a transfer RNA of Felis catus (domestic cat), 85 nucleotides long. It matches the Rfam family "tRNA". From Rfam's summary of the family: Transfer RNA (tRNA) molecules are approximately 80 nucleotides in length. Their secondary structure includes four short double-helical elements and three loops (D, anti-codon, and T loops). The record is from Rfam. Lineage: Eukaryota; Metazoa; Chordata; Mammalia; Carnivora; Felidae.